UAAGAAUUUAAAAGUCGAACAGACUUAUUGUUAAGAAUUCUGCCCCUUAAAAUUUUCUUAAUUCAACAUCGAGGUCGCAAAAUACAAUAUAGAUGUGAACUCCCCAUUUAAAUUACGCUGUUAUCCCUAAGGUAACUUAGUCUUAUUAUCCUUUCAAAGGGAUCUAAAAUUACAUAAACAAAUGAAAAUUUUAACUAAAGUUAACCAUUUAGCUGCCACCCCAGCAAAAUAAAACAUGAACAUUAAAAAGUAUAUCAAUAAAACUUAUUAACAUAAACUCAUAUAAAGUUCUGUAGGGUCUUAUCGUCCCAAUAAAUUAAUAAAGCAUUUUAACUUUAAAUUUAAAUUUUAAUAUUUAAAGAAAUAAAACAUAAUUCUCAUACAUCCAUUCAUACAAGCUUUCAAUUAAAAAACUAAUUACUAUGCUACCUUUGCACAGUCAAAAUACUGCAGCCAUUUAGAAAUUAACCAUAGGGCAGAAGAUACUUUUUAUAAAAACA
RNAcentral lists this ribosomal RNA (500 nucleotides) under Nesophrosyne oneanea. Its description in RNAcentral is "partial 16S ribosomal RNA". RNAcentral also lists the same sequence under 1 other name. The record is from RNAcentral. Lineage: Eukaryota; Metazoa; Arthropoda; Insecta; Hemiptera; Cicadellidae.